RNAcentral lists this unclassified non-coding RNA (182 nucleotides) under Glomus sp. RNAcentral's name for it is "partial contains 5.8S ribosomal RNA and internal transcribed spacer 2". The stretch from base 1 to 65 matches the Rfam family "5.8S ribosomal RNA", at positions 84 to 154 of the family's 154-position model. The record is from RNAcentral. Lineage: Eukaryota; Fungi; Glomeromycota; Glomeromycetes; Glomerales; Glomeraceae.
GUGAAUCAUCGAAUUUUUGAACGCAAAUUGCACUCUCUUCAGAGAGUAUGCCUGUGUGAGGGUCAGCCUAAAAAAGAAUCGACGUAGUCUCUAUGUCGCGGUGGCAUUCGUCGGAAAGUGGGGCAUCUUAAACCGUUGGGUUUUAUGCGGCUUAAAAGUAUCUUUAAGUUUUCACGAACGUU